This 390-nucleotide ribosomal RNA is filed under the name Cyrtopodion scabrum. RNAcentral describes it as "partial 12S ribosomal RNA". It matches the Rfam family "Bacterial small subunit ribosomal RNA", at positions 794 to 1384 of the family's 1533-position model. The record is from RNAcentral. Lineage: Eukaryota; Metazoa; Chordata; Lepidosauria; Squamata; Gekkonidae.
GCUUAGCCAUAAACCUAGAUAGUCCAACAACCAACUAUCCGCCAGAGGAUUACGAGCGAAAAGCUUAAAACUCAAAAGACUUGACGGUGUCCCAUAUCACCCUAGAGGAGCCUGUCCUACAAUCGAUACCCCGCGUUUAACCCAACCUACUCUUGCAAUACAACAGCCUAUAUACCGCCGUCUCCAGCCUACCUAAUGAUAGUACCGUAGUAGGCAAAAUAGUGGCCACACUAACACGUCAGGUCAAGGUGUAGCUAACGAGCAGGCAGCGAUGGGCUACAUUUUCUAAAAUAGAUCACCACUGACAGCAACAUGAAAACACAGCUUUAAAGGAGGAUUUAGAAGUAAGCUGGAUCACACCCACCAACUGAAACACGCUCUGGGACGCGU